AUGGCUCGACAUCCUCUUUAUGAAGAAAUAGUUAAAUAUCAGUUAAAACCAAUUUGAAGUCUAUUUUUGCUAAAAUCAGCAUAAUGAUCUUUAAGAAAUAUAGAUCCAUUCCUUCGUUCUCAUCCUUGGCAGCUAGAGGAACACAACGUGUCCCUUAGCAUUUAGAUAUGAUCUAUGGUAAACCUGGCAGUCAUAGUUCAAUCUCUCCACAGCACCAUCAGAGGAGAAAUUAGACAUUACACUAUGCCCAUUCAAAUCAAUAGGCUGCACUUUGUUAAGCAGAACAGGACAGGUCUUCAGUAGAAAUUUUCUCUUCACUCUGGCUGACAGAUGAGGAUCCUAAUCGAUGACUGUAUUAUUUGAUCCAUAAUUAUUUCAAAGAGUCCAAAAUAUAUUAAUACAGUGAUCCCUCAAUGUAAAUGGCCUCAACAUUACUCUUUACCUGUACCACGGUUAGCUUCUCCCAUGGACACCAGGCUUCCAGUUGCCAUGGAAUGCACCAGCACAGCUUCUCUUACUCCUUCUCUUGCUCUACAGGAAUGCGAUGAUGGCAUCAUAAUGCACUGGAGGGCAUUACUUCCAGUGAUGGAGGAAGGAGCAAGUAUUUUACUAUUCAAAGCACAAUAUAAAAUUAUGAUGAUCAUUAUAGAAAUAUGUGGUGAAUGUCACACUCCAAUUAAUUAAGCAAGUUAUCCUUUCACUGAACUGAAGGCCACUUCCUGAUGUGUGCAGACAAACAAAGACAAAUGAAGACUGAGUGCACUGAUAAUUCAAGGUAACUGUGCAUCAUAUUUAUGUGACAGCGGCCGGCCAGGAUGAAGUCACCAAUUUACCAGAGAUGGAUUACACUGCGAGCUGUUAAGUGCCAAGAAAACUGUAAACAAAAAAGACUUGACAACAUCCAUUUGUUUACAUGUUGCUAUCAAUUCAAUGUAACAAGAAAUAUAUUUGGGUUGUCAUACAAAUACAGCAGCACAA
Molecule: long non-coding RNA, 978 nt
Organism: Hyla sarda
Lineage: Eukaryota; Metazoa; Chordata; Amphibia; Anura; Hylidae
Exons: 3
Source: RefSeq, a predicted model, not a curated record